AGUUAUUUAGCUUAAAUAAAGUAAUUAUUUUGAAAAUAAUAGAUAGAGAAAUUUAAUAACUU
Molecule: transfer RNA, 62 nt
Filed under: Erragonalia choui
Lineage: Eukaryota; Metazoa; Arthropoda; Insecta; Hemiptera; Cicadellidae
Description: tRNA-Ser
Source: RNAcentral